Molecule: ribosomal RNA, 503 nt
Filed under: uncultured bacterium
Lineage: Bacteria
Description: bacterial SSU rRNA
Rfam family: Bacterial small subunit ribosomal RNA
Source: RNAcentral
CAUGCAAGUCGAACGGAAGUCGUUAUAAUGAUUUUGAUUUAGAUUUGAAGAUUCGUCUGAUAUGAAGAAGAUGAUGACUUAUAACAAUGGCUUUAGUGGCGGACUGGUGAGUAACGCGUAAGCAAUCUGCCUAUUAGAGGGGAAUAACAGUGAGAAAUCACUGCUAAUACCGCAUAUGCCAUAGUUAUCACAUGAUAGUAGUGGGAAAGGAGUAAUCCGCUAAUAGAUGAGCUUGCGUCUGAUUAGCUAGUUGGUGGGGUAACGGCCUACCAAGGCGACGAUCAGUAGCCGGACUGAGAGGUUGAACGGCCACAUUGGGACUGAGAUACGGCCCAGACUCCUACGGGAGGCAGCAGUCGGGAAUAUUGCGCAAUGGAGGAAACUCUGACGCAGUGACGCCGCGUAUAGGAUGAAGGUUUUCGGAUUGUAAACUAUUGUCGUUAGGGAAGAUAAAAGACAGUACCUAAGGAGGAAGCUCCGGCUAACUACGUGCCAGCCGCUGC